This is a long non-coding RNA of Cyprinus carpio (common carp), 1339 nucleotides long. NCBI's taxonomy places the organism in Eukaryota, Metazoa, Chordata, Actinopteri, Cypriniformes, Cyprinidae. The record is from Ensembl.
CUGUUUGUCUCUCUCACACACACACACACACACACACACACACACACACACACACACACACACACACACACACACACACACACACACACACACACACACUCACACACACACACACUCUCUCUCUCACACACACACACACACACACACACUCACUCACUCUCACACACACACACACACACAGAAACACACACUCACUCACACACACACACACACACUCACACUCACUCUCUCUCACGCACACACUCUCUCUCUCUCACACACACACACACUAAACCAUUCUAUUGCACUAGUGGUGUAUUCUAAAUGUUAAAAGUUUUUAUAUUUGAUAUGACAUGUAAAGUUAAUAUAUUUUAAAUAUACUAAAAUGUUUCAUUAUUAAAAAUCAGUCUGUGUGUGUGUUUCUGUUUGUGUAUCUGUGUCNCACACACACACACACACACACACACUCACUCUCACACACACACAUGCAUGCACGCAUGCACUCAUACACACACACCCACACUCACACACACACACACACUCACACACAUAUACACACUCACUCACUCACACACACACUCACUCUCUCUCUCACACACACACACUCUCUCUCUCACACACACACUCACACACUAAACCACUGUAUUGCACGUUGUCUAAUUUUCUAGAUGUUUGAUAUGACAUUUAAAGUUAAUAUAUUUUAAAUAUACUAAAAUGUUUCAUCAUUAAAAAUCAGUGUGUGUGUGUGUAUCUCUGUGUAUCUGUGUGUGUGUGUGUGUGUGUAUCUCUGUGUAUCUCUCUCUGUGUGUGUGUGUGUGUGUGUCUCUGUGGGUGUGUGUGUGUGGGUGUGAGUGUGUGUGGGUGUGUGUGUAUGAGUGCAUGCGUGCAUGCAUGUGUGUGUGUGUGUUCAGCUGGUGUUCCUCUGCUGUUCCUCACAGCUCCUCCCGGUACGGUUCAGAUUCCCGUCUCGGCGGUGCAGCUUCAUCCAGUACGGCGAGAUCAACACUUCACAAAUCUGUUUCUGAAGCUGCACGCCUUCAGUUCUCGCAUCACAAGAUCACAUCAUUAAUUCUGGACAGUGAAUGAUCUGUUUUAUUUCCCUCUUUAUUCGUUUUAAACUCGACACAUGGCCACAUUUUAAUGUGUAACACUGAAUAUUUAGAGUUCCUCCUCACUGUAUGUGCUCAGAGAGGCUCUGUAGGUUUGCUUGGUUUGAUGUGUUUUCAGUUAGUUUUAGAGAGAUUGUGUGAGAGUAACACUGGUUCUUCUGUUGGAUCAUUGGGUGAUUUCUGUUGUCCGACAGCAAAUGUACAAACCUUUUUGUAAUAAAAACGGAUCUUGUCAUGCUUGGCCUUUUUCA